Molecule: ribosomal RNA, 253 nt
Filed under: uncultured bacterium
Lineage: Bacteria
Description: partial 16S ribosomal RNA
Rfam family: Bacterial small subunit ribosomal RNA
Source: RNAcentral
GACGUAGGUGGCGAACGUUAUCCGGAAUUAUUGGGCGUAAAGUGUGCGCAGGUGGCUGAGCAAGUCGAGUGUGAAAGCCCCGGGCUUAACUUGGGAAUUGCGCUCGAAACUACUUGGCUCGAGUGUGGCAGAGGAAGGUGGAAUUCCACGUGUAGCGGUGAAAUGCGUAGAGAUGUGGAGGAACACCGAUGGCGAAGGCAGCCUUCUGGGCCAACACUGACGCUCAUGCACGAAAGCGUGGGGAGCAAACAGG